This 2196-nucleotide ribosomal RNA is filed under the name Triticum aestivum (bread wheat). RNAcentral describes it as "partial small subunit ribosomal RNA". Lineage: Eukaryota; Viridiplantae; Streptophyta; Magnoliopsida; Poales; Poaceae. The record is from RNAcentral.
AUGGUCGACAUCGACGAGUGCUCGGUGGCGCUCGUGCCCGAGCUCGAGCAUGCGCUGGCGAACCCGAACCCCUCCUCCAUCUCCCCGGACGCAUGGGCGCCUUUCGAGGCCGCCGCGCUCGGUGUCAUGUGCCGGAUCCAGCCAACCGUCGCCUCGGAGGGGCGCCGUGCGGCCGUUGUCGACUAUAUCCAACGCCUCGUCAAGUGUUCCGUCGGCUGCUCGGUCUUUCCAUUUGGAUCCGUUCCACUGAAAACAUAUCUUCCUGAUGGAGAUAUUGACUUGGCUGCUUUCGGUUAUACAUGUUCUGAUGAAAGCCUAGCAAAUGAGGUACGUGCCAUUCUGGAAUCAGAAGAGCGGCGCAAAGAUGCUGAAUUUGAAAUCAAAGAUGUCCAGUAUAUAAAUGCUGAGGUCAAGCUAGUCAAAUGCUUUGUCCAAAAUAUUGUUGUCGACAUCUCAUUUAAUCAGAUUGGUGGACUAUAUACGCUUUGUUUUCUAGAGCAGGUGAAUCAAAGAUUUGAAAAAACCCACCUUUUCAAGAGAAGUAUAGUGCUUAUAAAAGCCUGGUGUUAUUAUGAAAGCCGCAUCCUUGGAGCCCACCAUGGUCUAAUUUCUACCUAUGCCUUGGAGACAUUAGUGCUAUAUAUCUUCCAUCUCUUCCAUGAGUCUUUGGAUGGUCCAUUAGCUGUACUCUAUAGGUUUCUGGACUAUUAUAGCAAGUUUGACUGGGAUAACAGGGGUAUAAGCUUACAUGGUCCUAUUUCCUUAUCUUCCCUACCUGAGCUAGCUACUGACCCACCAGGCAUUCAUAAUGAUUGUUUUCUUGAGCGGGAGGAGUUUCUAAGAGAAUGUGCUCAAAUGUUUACUGCCCCCCCUAGGAACUAUGAGAGAAAUACACGCCCGUUCCCUCGAAAAUUUCUCAACAUAGUGGAUCCAUUGAAGCAGAGUAACAAUCUCGGGCGCAGUGUCAGCAAAGGUAACUUUUACAGAAUACGCAGUGCUUUUGAUCUUGGUGCCCGGAAGCUUGGAAAGAUCCUUCAAGUUCCUGCCAAUUCUAUCGUGGAUGAAGUCAAUCAGUUCUUCAGGAGCACACUGAAGAGAAACCUCGGCAGGGUACGCCCAGAUGUGCAAGGCACUGCAGUGAACUUGAACAUUGAAAGAGACAACAAGGGUUAUCCACCUUUACACAGUAAUCCCUGUGAGGAUCUAUCUUAUCAGCUUAGUAGUAUCAACAUUUCAGAUAAUCAUGGAUUUCUGAAGCAGGAGGAACAUAGCUCUAGCGGUGAGCACCAGGAAAUGAAAUCUGCUUCACAUCUUGUAACUAGUUCUUUUGUUAGUGUGAGCAAUGGGAUGUCAACAAAGGUGUACAAAGAGGCGGAUGGUGAUCGGGGUGCCACCACUGACAAUCUAUCAGAUCUCACAGGGGAUUACAGAACAAAUUUUAACAAUCUCCUCUAUUCACAGAGUUGCCACCAAGACUAUCCAGUUCAUCCAUACUAUCCAAUGCUUGCCCCGCCACCUGUACAAUAUCAGAACAAACACUCACUGAAUGGUCAUAACAGAAAAAAUGCUUAUGGAUAUCCCAGUGCAAACAGAAUGGCCCCUGGUCCUUAUUCACCUGGCUACUUCGUCUUAAAGCCGUUUUAUCGCACUGAGGAUCCUAUGCAACCUCAUGGAGCAGUCACCUACUUCCCCAACCCAAAUUUGUGCAUGGAGGCACCACCCACUGGACGAGGGGAAAGAAAGAAUUAUUUCCCUCGGAAUAAUUAUCAAAAGCAUCACCGUUAUGGUAGGGUGGACAUGCCUGCAGAUAUGACACGUUCUGAGGAAUUGAGGCAACAGCCACCAUUGCCGAUUUAUGUUCCUGUUGCAAAUGAUAAAGGAAUUCCCUCUCCGUUGAAGAUACCAACACCAUCAUCCCAUUCUACACAGGAUAAUAUUCAUGGAAGGGGCUUUAUUCAUCCACAUGACAGCAAACUUGAGUUUGGGACCUUGGGGGCAUUGCACAUGGAAGUUAGGAAUGCUUCCCAAAAUCAAGCUAACAGACCAUAUUCUGCUUCUGACAGUAAACCUUCUGCAACCCUGAGAUCGAACUCUCCUGGACAAAAUCCUGGAACGGGUUAUAAAUCUAAUGUAAUGAGGAAUAGUAAGCCAUAUCAUCUCAAGGACAAUGGUGAUUUCCCACCACUAUCCAGUUGA